AUAUAUGCUUACCAUUAUUUAGCUCAAUCUAUUUAUCACUUCAAGGAUUUUUAAAAAUAGUUUUUAAGAACUGUACCUAUACUUUAUUAUGGCCAAUGCUCAAAAAAUUAUUGAGUUGGCAGCAAUGCCACCAGGUCACUGGAAUGCAGAGGAAGGCAUCUGUUUGACAUGGUGCUGACUAUUGGCAAAAAAGGGCUUCUGAACAUAUCGAUCAGCCAAAGGGGUAGCCUGUUGCUUAAAGGGCAGUUACAGCUGCUUAUGGAUGAGUCUACUGUUACAAAACCAGCAAACAAAGGGAAAAACUGGUUCAGAGAAGCUGCUUCAGGAAUAUACAGCUUGCACAAGUUCUCUCCACAAGCCACCAGUUAGUUGGAAAUAUGAUGGGUACCCAUCCUAAUAACAUAGCAAGUUCCCCUCCAAUGAUGUGGCUGGCAGGCUCAUGCCGGCCGGACGGCGGGCAGCCUGCUAUCCAUACUCAAAAAGGUGAUUCUCUCUAGUAGACUUUAAGAAAGGGUCAGACUACUGUUUUCUCAGAUUAGAAUCAUGAGCUGCCAACUGGUAGUCUAAUCAAAUCCAGCUCACUGACAUGAUCAUUUGGCCAGGCCUAGUGACACUCUGGUGGUGUCUCAGAGGUUACUCUGGAGAGCCACUCAUACCUUUGAGAAUGUUCAGAUCUUUUCAUCAAAGCGGCUCUACUUUGAUCAGUUGGGCUUCCGUAAAAUUUGGGGAAAAAAGGGUUCCAUUUUCUAAAAAUGAAAUGUUCUCAAAAAUUUGAAGAUUAUUGAAUGACCAGGCCAAUGAGGUUUGUUUCUCCAACAUCAUAAUGUUUAGUACUUGUAGACACUUAUAUUUCUAUUGACAACAUACUGGAGUUACUAAGUACCACCUUAUAGCUAGGGAAAAUCUUUCCAUAUUUGUCAAUGCCAGAACCUCUUACAUAAUCUUUAAUACUAUUUAAUGUUUCCCUUCUCACAAAGCCUCUCCUGACCUUUUUAACUGCUAGGGUCCUUCUCUCAUCUUCUCUACUGUUAUCUGGGAUCAUAAUUUUAUUUCCCUAUGUUAGGUGAUAUUUUAUUUUAAAAUACUGAUGACCUUGACUGUGAGUGCCCAAGGGCAGGGACCAAGUUGGCUACUUUUAUGUGUCUUUUUUGUUGCCUGGCACAGGGUUUUGGACACAGAGCAUGCUAAAAUACAAUUUUAAAAGACUGAAUCUUCCCUCUACCAGAAGAUCCACUGCAGCAAAAUUCUUGGUGACUUCUCUCAGCUUAUGUGAAGUAAAAAAUUCCAUAGACAGAAGUAUAAUUAACUUUCAAUUAUUUAUUUAUUUGAGACAGGAUCUCACUCUGUCACCCAGACUAGAGUGCAGUGACACGAUCUCAGCUCAAUGCAGCCUCGACCUCAAGGGUUCCAGCAAUCCUCCCACCUCAACCUCCCAAAUAGCUGGGACCACAGGUGUGCGCCACCACACCCUGCUAAUUUUUUGUAUUUUUUUUUUUUUGUAGAGACAGGGUUUCAGGUUUUGAAGAAUGAGCAGAAGCUCUGCGUCAGAUGAAGAAGAGACAGGAGGCCCUCCAAGCAAAGGAACCACUCAUGUCAAGACAUGGGGCAAAAAGAGAGGAUGUAUUUGGAGAACAGAGAGUAACCGAAGGCUAUCAUUCAAUCAGUGAUAGUCUUCAUGGAGGUUAAUAUCAAAGGCAACCUGAAUUUCCUCAGACUUCAUGAGCUGGCGGUGAAGGGUGAGAUCACACAAGCAGUAAUAACCCAGCUCUCCCUGGCUCACUGCCUUACUUACUGGCCUUCUGGUACUCAGCAAAGCUGUCCCCAUGAGUUUGGGAGUCUCCAUUCCUGUCCUUCCACUCCCCUCAAACGUCUUUCAUUCAAGGUCACGUGGUAACUUGACUCCUCUCACCACUACUUCUGUGGGAAUGCAGAGGCCAGGCCAGAGCCUGUGGGUGCUGCCCUCCCCAGAGACUUCACUAUGCCCAGCUCCAGGGAGGACUGACUGGAGGAGGGGACCAGGCAUCUCCCCUGCACUCUGGGCCCACAGCAACCCUGUAUACCAGCCCGUAUUAACCUUGCAACGCCUUCCUCCAAAAGCAGGUUAAAAUUAAGCUCGGCAGGCUCGACGUAAAUGUGCAGACAAAGCAAAGCAGGAAGCCUCCCACACUAAAAAGGGAAGAUAAGAAUCACAGAAGCUGGGAUGGUUUUUAUUGAAGGGCAUUUCAAAGCAAAUACAGACAUCUACAGCAUAUUUGUAAAUCCUCCGUAUGUGUAUGGAAACACACACCUUCACACAUCAAAACUGGAUUUGUUCCUGAGUAACAAAACGUCCUAAGAACAAAAUGAAAGAAAACCAAAUAGCAGAAAAAUACUUCCAAUGUAUAUACCACAAAGGAUUAUUUAUCAACUCAACACACCAAGAGUUAAGAAAAUAAUGCAACAGGAACAAAGGGCAAAGGAUAUGUACUGGGAAGACCACAGAGAAAGAAAAUGCAAAUGGCUAAUAAUAUAAAAUAUUUCCUAGGUUCAAUAGUAAUCAGGGAAAGACUGGUUUGUAUGAUAUUUUCACUUCCGUGAAUUUACUGAACCUCUGUUCACCUCCCUCUAUACUCCUUCAUUCUCUCUUUAAAAUGCACAGUCACUUCUGUACAAAUUGAAGUUGUUCAGUUCACACUGAAUAGUUCUCUAUAGCAAUAGUCUAUCACUCAUUAAAAUCUCUCCUUGCCACUUUAGUUUCCAGCUUUAUCUUUGACACCCUCACUAUACUGCAGUCUCUAUGAGCUGGAUUUUUGUUUUCUCACUGGCACAUAAUAGAGACUCAGUAAAUACUUGCUGAACCUUGUUGAUGGGUCAAGAGUGGUGCAUGGGUUUUAGCCCCUCAGCCACACUUCUGGGCUGGGAUAAGCAUGUUUAAGCAUCUGGAUGAAACAUCAUUGCUCAUUUCACUCCUUAAAUACCUGGCAAGUGACAGGCAGCUGGACUUGAUAUUUAGGCUACUUGAAGAUGGCCACAGAUGCUGGUCCGGGGCUGUUUUGGCAAGCCACACAUGACCUUGCUCUAGGUGCUGCCUCUGUGUGUGCCCAGAGCUUCUGGAGAAGGGCUGGAAAUUGGGCUACUAUAGUGUUAGGCCAAGGAAUGUUUUUACAAGGCGUGUAACCCUCUUAUUGUGCCUCUGAGAUAAUUCAGAGAUCCCAGCACAGUCAUCUUGCUGAUUCUCAGAUCCAUCCUGCAUGGCUUACAGAGGCUGCAGAGGCUGUGGGGCAUGCUGGAGAAAUACUCUGUGUGUCAGUGAAGGACCUGCUCAUUCUUUUUCUCUCUGACUCUAAGAGCAGGGAGCUCCUGAUCACAUUUAGUCUGCUCUUAAAGGGAUCCGAGGCUCAGUUCUGAAAAUGAAAUCAGGUACAUGAAAGAUGUUCACUCUUCUACAUCUGUGCCAGCAUCCUGCGGCACAUGGGACAACUGAGCUGAAAGGUUUCACUUCCUAGCAUCCGUUAAGAGGACACAGAAAAGACAAAGAGUCCUCAGAAGUAAAAUAAUUUUAUAAAUUGGAGCCCAUGGUUCACAUGAUGUACACUUUGCACACUCACAUUUUAAAUGUCUUUGCUGUCCUUUUUCGGCAUACAGGCCAUAAUUUCCAUCCAUGAAAAUGAA
RNAcentral lists this long non-coding RNA (3651 nucleotides) under Homo sapiens (human). RNAcentral describes it as "non-protein coding PHACTR2-AS1:1". Lineage: Eukaryota; Metazoa; Chordata; Mammalia; Primates; Hominidae. The record is from RNAcentral.